Molecule: ribosomal RNA, 489 nt
Filed under: uncultured bacterium
Lineage: Bacteria
Description: bacterial SSU rRNA
Rfam family: Bacterial small subunit ribosomal RNA
Source: RNAcentral
GGCGGCGGCCUACACAUGCAAGUCCAGCGGUUGACGGGAGCUUGCUCCCUGAUUCAGCGGCGGACGGGUGAGUAAUGCCUAGGAAUCUGCCUAUUAGUGGGGGACAACGUUUCGAAAGGAACGCUAAUACCGCAUACGUCCUACGGGAGAAAGCAGGGGACCUUCGGGCCUUGCGCUAAUAGAUGAGCCUAGGUCGGAUUAGCUAGUUGGUGGGGUAAUGGCUCACCAAGGCGACGAUCCGUAACUGGUCUGAGAGGAUGAUCAGUCACACUGGAACUGAGACACGGUCCAGACUCCUACGGGAGGCAGCAGUGGGGAAUAUUGGACAAUGGGCGAAAGCCUGAUCCAGCCAUGCCGCGUGUGUGAAGAAGGACUUCGGAUUGUAAAGCACUUUAAGUUGGGAGGAAGGGCAGUAAAUUAAUACUUUGCUGUUUUGACGUUACCGACAGAAUAAGCACCGGCUAACUCUGUGCCAGCAGCCGCGGUAAU